RNAcentral lists this ribosomal RNA (194 nucleotides) under uncultured bacterium. RNAcentral's name for it is "partial 16S ribosomal RNA". It matches the Rfam family "Bacterial small subunit ribosomal RNA", at positions 1307 to 1500 of the family's 1533-position model. The record is from RNAcentral.
GCAACUCGCCUACAUGAAGUCGGAAUUGCUAGUAAUCGCGGAUCAGCAUGCCGCGGUGAAUACGUUCCCGGGCCUUGUACACACCGCCCGUCACACCAUGAGAGCCGGUAACACCCGAAGUCAGUAGCCUAACCGCAAGGGGGGCGCUGCCAAAGGUGGGAUUGGUAAUUGGGGUGAAGUCGUAACAAGGUAAC